GAAAUGCGAUAAGUAAUGUGAAUUGCAGAAUUCAGUGAAUCAUCGAAUCUUUGAACGCACCUUGCGCUCCUUGGUAUUCCUUGGAGCAUGCCUGUUUGAGUAUCAUGAAAUCUUCACAGUAAAUCUUUUGUUAACUCAAUUGGUUUCUACUUUGGUAUUGUAGGUCUUUGCAGCUUCACACCUGCUCCUCUUUGUUCAUUAGCUGGAUCUCAGUGUUAUGCUUGGUUCCACUCGGCGUGAUAAGUUAUCUAUCGCUGAGGACACUGUAAAAGGUGGCCAAGGUAAAUGCAGAUGAACCGCUUCUAAUAGUCCAUUGACUUGGACAAUACUUUUAUGAUCUGAUCUCAAAUCAGGUAGGACUACCCGCUGAACUUAAGC
RNAcentral lists this unclassified non-coding RNA (378 nucleotides) under plant metagenome. RNAcentral describes it as "partial contains 5.8S ribosomal RNA, internal transcribed spacer 2, and large subunit ribosomal RNA". The stretch from base 1 to 105 matches the Rfam family "5.8S ribosomal RNA", at positions 50 to 154 of the family's 154-position model. The record is from RNAcentral.